This is a non-coding RNA of Camelina sativa (false flax), 1415 nucleotides long. The record is from RefSeq and is a predicted model, not a curated record. NCBI's taxonomy places the organism in Eukaryota, Viridiplantae, Streptophyta, Magnoliopsida, Brassicales, Brassicaceae.
AUGUUGCUUCACUAUUUUAUUUUAAAAGGAUAUGGAGCCAAAGACAUGAAAUAAGGUACCACAAUAUAUCCAGUUCUGCCUGGGGAACUAAAAUGUAAAACAUUGGUAAUUUGGUAGAAUAUAUUAUUUUUAGUAGUAUGACGAAAAAUGUUUAGUUAAUCUAUUGAAGUCACAUCUCUGGUUUUUCGGUUCACGCUUUCUUUCUUCUUUUUGAAGGAACAAACAGGAGCGUAUUCAUUUAACAUAGAAACAGGUAAAGGUUUCCUUGAACCUACAGAGUCAUCAUCAUAGUUAAAACAUAAAAAAGCAAACCAAGAGUUAAAACAAAAGAUACAAAUCGACGUGGUACAGUUACAAAGUUCUUACACCAACAAAGCAUUCACCUGCACAAUGAUCUCUUCAACCUCUAAGCACAUUGCUUCAAACUUCUGGUACACAUACAUUCCCAACCCAUUUUAUACCUUUAAAAUCUAUAAUUCCCCAGAAUCCAAAAACGUUCUUGUGUUCCUUCUGUCAAUGCCCAACAACCAAAAAAGAAAAUUCAGAGAGAGAAUAAGCAUAUGCGGUAAACGUACACACAACAUCGAAUAGAAGCUCAUAGCAAAAGAGACAGUUGCUUAGCCGUUAUUCCAAAUAGAUUAUCCAAGAGAAUAUGGCUAAUGCAACUUCUAAGCAAAACCCGAUUUUUUUUCCAAAUCCUAGGAGCCUUUUAGACGCUAACUUCUUAAACAAAACAAGUUCAUCAAGAAGAGAUAUAAUAUUAGAAUAUCCUUAUCAUAUAAGAUCUUUUGACUGCAGAUAUAAGCUAUGUCUCUGUAUCACAUGAUUCUUUCUUCUAUUGAAAACAGAAAUUGUCAACACCAAACUUAACCAUGUGAAAAACAAUCAACGAUCAUCAUCGGACAAAACCAAAUGUUAUCUACAGAGAGACCAAAUUAGAAAGAAAGAGAGAAAAAAAUACCAAAAGGAAACGAAUUGAUUCGAAUUGAUUCAUAUACUAAACAACUGAUUGCUUAUUAAAAUCAAAACUUCGAAACCCAAAAACUUGAAGUCCAAAGAUUUAACAAAACUUGCUAACAGAGAAGACUCUUUUGCAAUCAAUCAGAAAUUGAGAGAAAAAAAAGGAAUAAACUUUAGAAUUAGAUAACAGAGAAGAAGAAGAAGAGGAGAUGAUAGGUUGAUGAUUCCGUUAGCGUGUAUGAAGAAGAAGAUUCGAACAAGUGGAAGAAAGGCUCGUCAGUGGGAGAAGAAAGAAGCUUACAAAAGUGGCUAAGAGAGUAUUGAAGACUUGGAGAGAAGGAGAAGGUUUACUUAUUAUCUAUGCACUGUCGUUUUAUACUUUACAAAGUGUAUUUAAAUGAACAGUGGAACCUUAGGGUUUCCUUAUCUUAUGAAUGAAAUUAUUAAUCUCUUAA